UCCUGCCUUCAACUUCACCCUCGCUGCCGGGGCUCCACGGCUCUCACCGACCUGCCAUGGCAAAGCCACGCCCAGUGCCUCACCCAGCUGCUGCCGGGCAGGAAACACGGCGGGGAGAGGUAUCAAGAUUCUCGUUAACUUCGUUGCCGACAGCUGCGAUGCAAGCGGUCGGUGAUGCUGCGGAGUAAAGAUCCAUACACAGACGCUGUCACUCUGCAGCUCGCACAAGCCCUUCGCUGUGUUGAGAACAUCGUAUCACAGAAUCAUCAAGGUUGGAAAGGACCCUGAAGCUCCUCCAGUCCAACCCUUAACCUCACACUGACCGUUCCCAACU
Molecule: long non-coding RNA, 334 nt
Filed under: Bubo bubo (Eurasian eagle-owl)
Lineage: Eukaryota; Metazoa; Chordata; Aves; Strigiformes; Strigidae
Description: lncRNA (ENSBOBG00000004059.1)
Source: RNAcentral